Molecule: non-coding RNA, 73 nt
Organism: Camelus dromedarius (Arabian camel)
Lineage: Eukaryota; Metazoa; Chordata; Mammalia; Artiodactyla; Camelidae
Source: the annotation of a RefSeq genome assembly
GGAGGGUAUAGCUCAGCAGUAGAGCGUGUGCUUCACAUGCACAAGGUCCUGGGUUCAAUCCCCAGUCCCUCCA